UGGAAAAUUAGACUACAAACCAGACU
This 26-nucleotide non-coding RNA is filed under the name Rattus norvegicus (Norway rat). Lineage: Eukaryota; Metazoa; Chordata; Mammalia; Rodentia; Muridae. The record is from RNAcentral.